UUGAUCUAAAUUGCAGAUCAUAUAUAUAUAUAUAUCUUUUUUUUUUCCAAAACUGGAUUACAAACAAAAAUGGAUUUUCUCUACCCUAAGUCUGAACCCAGUCUGGGCAUGAAUCUGCAUGCAAUAUUUAUGGCACAUUUCAAAACUAUACAUGGGGCUACUGUGCAUAUGUCCAUAUCUCUUUUGCUGUCAUUUUACUUUGAAAGAGUCUGACUUUCUUGUAAUCAUUUAAAGUAGAACUUUGAACACGUUGCUGAAUUUUUAUUUCUUUUGUUGGAAGUUGAUUUUACCGGGGCUCAAAAGAAUGAUCAUGUGUGAAUUAUUAUUUAAAGUUGGUCCAUGUCUGUACGCAUCACAAUUCACACCAGGUACAUUUCUGGUUUACACAAUGCAUGUGUGCCCCAUGCGUGUACAUGCCAAUACGUGUGUGUUUGCACGCUUGAGUGUGUAUGUGUGAAACGGAGAGUAGGGAGGUGAGCGGCACUGGGCUUCUGUUGCACCUACUGAGCAUUAUCCCAAAUAAACAACUCAUUACACGUGUACUUAACCGAGGGGGAACCGGCGAGCUGUGCAAGCUAAUCCCCAUUAUCGUUCCCAGCGUUUCUCUUCCGAUUAGGCUACAGGGAAGAGGAGACCCACAAGGCAGGUCGCUCAGUUUAAGAGGAAGCAAGAAGGAGAUAGAAGAAAGAAAAGCACCUGAGUUAACUUCCCAAGAGUACCUCCUUCCCCUACCUCUCUUCCUUCUCCCUGUGCUAUUUGCUUUUUUGCUCUUACUUGUUUUCGACCACCUCUUCAGAACUGGGUCAUCGACAGUUUGUGGAGCAGCAUUUUGAAGAACAUGGGAAAGGGAUGAAAAAAAAACAAAAAACAUGUUCUUGCUAUGAGAAUAAUCUAAGGUUUCUUUAACAAGUAGCCUGGUUAUCAUAUUAAGCUGUCAAAAAACACAUUAAAAGGAGGAGGCACAAUUCCCUGCACAGAGAAAAUGGGGGCUGUGGGGUAGCACUCUUCAUUUCCAGUGUAAAGAGACAGUCCACCAAGGGCAGCAUAGUGCUUUGCAAAGACUCGCUCUCUCUUUCUGGCCCACUCAUAACAUGAUUAUGAAGCCCCUAUUAUGAGGGCCAAGAUGCAGAGUGUCAGUCAUUUAGUUGGAGAAUAAUAUCUUGGGCUAGGAUGCAGAAAAGAUGACACUCGUUUCUUUUUUUUGUUAAAAAAAAAGAGCUGCAGAGGGUGAUAAUGUGGCUUCAACAAUUAGAUGGCAUGGUCGAGAAGUGGUGCUCUUUGAAGAAUAACGGGAUUAACCAAGAAGACUGCCAUUUGCCCGCAUAAUAAAGACAGAAAAGUCAGUUUGACUGAGAAUAAUCCCUUUAAAAAAUAAAUGUUAGAUAGUAAAGUAUAGAGGGUACGGUGUUUUAUGGCCGUUCUACUCCAAUAGCAUAAAAUGGCUUUUUGUUGUUUCCUUGUACCCCCAUUUAGCUGAUUGUAUGAAACUUUAAUAUCUUAAAAUCAGGUAAGACACUGUUGAGGAAAAUUAACCGUCUGGUAUUUCACAGAAGACUGUUUAGUUUAAUGUUUUCUCAGCUGAAAAACAUCCUUCUUACUAUGCUAAAGCUGUUAUAGGAGUUUACUGGCUGUAUCAAUCCAGCCUUACCAUGCCAGUUCCACACCAGUAUGAGACCUGGAAAACCACAGUCUCUUCUGGAAGUACGGUUAAUAGCUGUGAAUAUAACAUAUAGCAACUUUAGUUGUUUUGAGUUGAAAAAACAAAAAACCUGAUUAAAAUGAGGUUCCAUCUGGCUAGUUGUAAGCAUGCUACUGGGCUGAGCUUUUUUUUUUUCUUUGUUCUUCAAGUUUACAGCAACAUGGGCUUUUUCUAAUUUACAAAACCUACCUUCAAUUUUCUAAACUUUUUAGUUUAGAAGUUUUUAGUUUCUAUGUUAUAUCAGAGUUAACUAAGGCUUUUCAGGCCUAACUUCAAGUCCUUCAAUGUUUUUCGGUACUUUCUCACACUCCCAAUCGGCAUGCCAUCCUGUUUGCUUGGCCCCUGAGAGGAGAUGGGGUGGGGUGAGGUUGGAGGGGACUGCUCAAAGUGGGCCGGCAGUGGAUGGAUGUGACGUGGGGGAACUGGGUCUCGACUGGAAGGGGAGGCUGGAGCCACGACAGGUAUCCCCCCGCACUUCCUCGGCUAUUUAUAAAACCGUGAGUCCAGCGCCUGGCCAAAAAUAAAGACAGAGGCCAUUUUUAUCAGCAACGAUGACAGAGGGGACAAAUAAAGACUCCCUUUAUGCUUUCCGAACACAAACACACAGGAAGCUGAAAAAUACCCAUGCAUGUAAACAGCUGAAAGCGAAAAAGUCCUCACAAGACAAUGAAACCAUCUACGUUGUCCUAUUCAGCAAACGUGCACACGCAAACACACACACACACACACACACACACACACACACACACACACACACAAACAUAGGGGAGAAAAGUCAAUACCAAGGCUGAACUAUUUUAGUAGCAGGACUGUUUAGGAAGUGUGGGCCAGGUGCCAGUAUUCUCCUCAGGAUCGUCUGGCCUGUCACUGCAAAUGGCGCUCUUACACGAAUUCAUCUCUUUCCUUCUCCCUCACCCUGUCCUCACCCUUUUUCAGUCAAUCCCCUGCUCCAUUGUCACUACUCUGUGCAUAUCUCUCUCCGCCAAAUAAACAAGGCUGUUUGUUUUUCCACCAGGUCCAACCGCAGUGCCAGGUGAAAGCAUCUGCUGGCAGGAUAAAGAAAGUGGCUGUUGUGAGACCACAAGCGCCCCCCACCACCUACCGACCCACCCUGCUCUGGCCCGGCAAACCUUGAAGCAAAGCACUCGGACUGGAGUUUCAAACAAAGUGCCCCCCUCAUUUAUUAUACAUGCAACUGCACUGAAAAUCUCCUUCUCCAACGCCAUCUCCUCUCCUCUCUCUUUCAGUUUCUCUCUCUCCAUCUUCUUCACUCUCUUCUCGCCUCGUCCCUCUUCGUUUUCUAUCUUUUUUCUUUCUUUUUUUUUCUUUUUUUUCCCAGACAGAGCAUCUAUAAAGUAUGAAUAAAAUUAAUGACAUCACGAGCUGCACUUUGGAAGAGCCACUGUAAGGAAAAAGCCAUACAUCAAGGGGCAGAGGGAGUCAGGCAAAAAAAAAAAAAAGAAGAAAAAAGAAAGUUUUUAGAAAAAGGAAGAAGAAAAAAGAAACAGGAGUGGGCGGUAGGCGUCGCUUAGCUCUUCCCCACCCUCAGGGUACUUCCAUAUCGCUGUAUGCUGUUGUGCUUAUAAAGUUUGAAUUCUGAUAUGCUUUUGUUCAUCUUUUAAUUCUCUUUUUUUAUAUAUAUAUUUCAUCUUGCUCACUUCCUUUCCUACAUUUCUUUGCCUUUUUUCCCUGCUAGCUCAGUGAUGUAUGUAGUCUCGACGGGUCUAUGCUGCACAUCAUUACAUAGGCUGGCCUUUUGGUUGGGAAUGUCACAGAUGACAGUGGAAAGGAACAGUUCUGUGGACUUUGGCCGUACACCGUCUGGUUAAGCUGUGUGCUCUGAAAAAAAGUGGGAACUCUGUGUGUGAGCUGUUGAAUAUUGUUUUUUCUUUCUCCCAAUGAGCCUCCCCCCCCUACUCCCCCUGCCACCAGGGAUAGUGUUAAGAGAUUUAUAAGAGAGUUCCCUUGGAUCAGAAUCGUAAAUUUCCUGAUAUGAUUUCCCAAGUAUCUAAAAGAGAAAGGAACGUGAUUAAUAUUCUGUCCUGGCGCACGGAGAAACAUAAGUGCAAACCUGUGCCGAUGGCCGAAAUUUUGGUGGUGCAUUGUUUGAUGACAAGAGGGCAGAUUCACACCAAAGAAUGACUUAGUAAAUUUCCUGUGAAUUCAGUGUGCACACAAGAGCUGCUAAAAAUACUCUGUAUUGCAACUCAAAGCUCUCAAGCAGCAUGGGGAGAAGUGGUGGCAGAAGCAGCAGCAGCAGUAGCAGCGCCGCGGAUUGUGGCAGCCGACCGAGCGUGGGCUUCAGAUGGAUGUGAGCGUAUGUGAGGCCACGACACAGAGCUACCUCUGUGUGUCUCGCCGGACUCUCGCAGAAUGACUCGGCUAUGUUGCAGUUGUGACAAAGAUAAAUUACAGUCGUUGGAAGACGUCUCUGUUUUUUUUUUUUUUUUUUUCCACCCUCCUUACUUUCUCUCUCUCUCUGUCUUUCCAGCUCUUUUAAUUUUGUUGGUACUGGCUCCAUUCCAAAUGUGUCCCACACCAAAAGAGGUAAAAAUAUCUUAGGUGUACAAGUUUGGCCCUUUAAUACUUAAAGGUCAGGUACAGUUCUUUGAAAUACGAUAUACUUUCUUUCUCUUCACCCCCACAUUAAUUAACCCCCUGGAAAUUCUCUCAACUUAUUCUCAAAAAAAAUCUGUGUGGUCAAAGAAAUAACACUUAGUUGCACUGAUUAAGUCUUUAGUUCUACUUACUCAAUUAGCAGCAAUUAGAUGGAUUAGGAUUGAAAUCAGCCAAUUUCCCCCUGAUCGGCCCGAGGCAUGAACCUGAUUAUUAGUAUUGUGGUAUACUGAAGAUUUGAAAGAAACUGGUUUCAAAUCACAAACUUUUCCAUUACACAAAUUCUGCCUGGUGAAGUCCACUCAAUCAGACCCAAAAGACCUUUUUUUCUUCAAUGACUAACACGGCUCUGCUCCUCCAUAACCUGCUACUUUGCACCGUUGGUUAGCUGGCUGAAAGACGACUUCUAUGCUUUUCCUUUGCUUUCAAAUUUUUGGGGGGCAUUAAAUAUUUAAUAUAUGGUAUGGAAACUAGUGCCACCCAUCACUGUUACGAAGAUAUAAUUUUAGCAAAAGGUAUUAUUAGACGAGUUUAGCUUGCCAUAAGAAUUUCAUAUCGGACCAUAACUAAACGGCUGCAAACAAGAGACCUGAAGGGCAGGUAAAGAGAAAUUGUUUUUUUUUUUUUCUACCAUAUGAACCAACCGCAUGUACUUUUAUGCAUUUUUGCUUAGGAAAAACGAGAUAAAGAUUAGCUAUUUAUUCGUGAUCGGUUGAACUCAAAACUACUAUAGCAACAGAAAAAAAAAAAAUAACAAACAAACAUCCUGCUGCACAUUUUAUUUUCUUUAAUCCUUUGUGAUCCUUAAAAAACUGGAAUUAAAACCAAUAAAUCGAUUGCGGACAAAAAAAUGUCUUAUCGGUGAAAUCGGUAAAAUUGUUCCCAACAGAAAACUGCAGGAUUUUCAUGCUCAAGAACCAUACGAACUAAUGUAUAAACAGUUUUGUUCUUAUUUACAUUUGACUUUAUCAUUUCAGUAUUGAUAUCGAGGCUUUCAGUAAGAUGUGUUUAAACAAAGAAACCCUACAUCUCCUCUACUCUAAAUAUUUCUCUAUAACUUAUCAUUCACCCCCCCUAUUUUUGAUUUUUUUUUUUUUUUUUUACCUCC
Poecilia latipinna (sailfin molly) is the source of this 5423-nucleotide long non-coding RNA. RefSeq lists it as uncharacterized. NCBI's taxonomy places the organism in Eukaryota, Metazoa, Chordata, Actinopteri, Cyprinodontiformes, Poeciliidae. The transcript is spliced from 2 exons. The record is from RefSeq and is a predicted model, not a curated record.